GCCGCUAUGGUGAAAUUGGUAGACACGCUGCUCUAGAAGCAGUGCUAGAGCAUCUCGCUUCGAGUCCGAGUAGCGGCA
Molecule: transfer RNA, 78 nt
Filed under: Origanum vulgare subsp. vulgare
Lineage: Eukaryota; Viridiplantae; Streptophyta; Magnoliopsida; Lamiales; Lamiaceae
Description: tRNA-Leu
Source: RNAcentral